UGAGAUUCUGCAAGGCAUGAGGUCACAAGACAGUAAUUCCGAGGUCCCAGCGGCACCAGAUGAUUCCAGGGCACCCACCUUUGUGGUAAAGAGAGCAUCUACAUCAUGCCAGGCCCGCAGCUUGGCGCGAGCAGCUAGGGCCGUCAGCACAUACUGCUUAUCCGGGAUCUAAAAAGCAGAGACCAGGGAAUUAAGGUGGUACCUUUCAGAAGAGAAGCUUGACAUACAUUCAUCAUGGUAGCCUUGUUCUAGCUUCUGAUGGCCCUUAAUAUACUCUACGGAUAUUCCUUGACUUACAAUGAGGUUAACAUCCUGAUAAAUCAAACGUAAAUUGAAAAUAUCAUGAGUCGAAAUUGCUGAGCAUCGUGGCUUAGCCUAGCCUACCUUCAAUAUGCGUAGAACACUUAUAUUAGUCUACAGUUGGGCGAGAUCAUCUAACGCAAGGCCUCUAUUAUAAUAAAGUGUUGAAUAUCUCAUGUAA
Molecule: long non-coding RNA, 481 nt
Organism: Suricata suricatta (meerkat)
Lineage: Eukaryota; Metazoa; Chordata; Mammalia; Carnivora; Herpestidae
Exons: 2
Source: RefSeq, a predicted model, not a curated record